RNAcentral lists this long non-coding RNA (840 nucleotides) under Homo sapiens (human). Its description in RNAcentral is "HSALNT0150567". Lineage: Eukaryota; Metazoa; Chordata; Mammalia; Primates; Hominidae. The record is from RNAcentral.
UAUCUUCCUAGCUGUAGAUUCCUGACCCACUUGGGUUGGUGCACAAGGAAGCAAGAUGAGCCUUCUCCAUCUCCUACACACUCUGAAAUAAUCUGUCAGAAGAUCCUCAUCCUGCCGUGCUGGCUUACUCUGGAUCAAGAGACAAAGACUCCAGCUCUAUCUCUGAUGGACCGAGUAGGAAGAAUCAGCAUGAGUCAACCCACCAGGUUUCCCAGAGCUUAAUCCAGAAGGGACCCAAACACUAGGGAGUGUUUCAGGAGAGGAGGAAGAUCCAGAGCACCACCCUAUGCCAAAGAAAGCAUGAAUGCAGAAUGUGUAACUUCAUGAUGGCUAAACCUUGGAUCCCUGCUUGUCUGAGUCCAUACAGGCUGCAAUAACAAAACACCUUAGACUGGCCUCCCUCCAGUUACAUGUGACCAUGUGACUGAGCCAAUGAAAUAUGAGCAGAAGUGAUGAGUGUCACAACCAGACCAGAUCCAUAAAAAACUCCACCCUUGGCCCUCCAAGCUCUUCUCCCUGUUGACAGAUAAACUGGAGAUGUCCUCCUGAGCAACCUUGGAAACCACAUAUUGAAGAUGGUCUCUGAAUCACCCCUGGCCACCUGACUGGGAACACCAAAUAGGAUUGCUACAUGAGUGAAAAAUAAACAAUUUCUGGGCUGAGUCACUGAGACUUGUUUAUCUGUUCCAGCUGCUGGAGCUACCUUCACCAAUACAGGGGUAAUCAUAGUACCUUUUACUGGGAGGAUUAAGUGAGAUAAUGCUUACUCAACUGCCAGGUACACGGUAAGCACUCACCAUCAUCAACUUUUACUGUAGCAAGGAAGAGUUUACAGACCUG